AAGGAAUAUUGGACAAUGGAGGCAACUCUGAUCCAGCCAUGCCGCGUGAAGGAAUAAGGCCCUAUGGGUUGUAAACUUCUUUUAGACGGGACAAAACCCCUUUACGUGUAAAGGGUUGAUGGUACUGUCAGAAUAAGCAUCGGCUAACUUCGUGCCAGCAGCCGCGGUAAUACGAAGGAUUCAAGCGUUAUCCGGAAUUAUUGGGUUUAAAGGGUGCGUAGGCGGACUAAUAAGUCAGUGGUGAAAGCCUGCAGCUUAACUGCAGAAUUGCCAUUGAUACUGUUAGUCUUGAGUACAGUUGAGGUAGGCGGAAUGUGUCAUGUAGCGGUGAAAUGCUUAGAUAUGACACAGAACACCGAUUGCGAAGGCAGCUUGCUAAGCUGUAACUGACGCUGAGGCACGAAAGCGUGGGGAGCAAACA
This 421-nucleotide ribosomal RNA is filed under the name uncultured bacterium. RNAcentral's name for it is "bacterial SSU rRNA". It matches the Rfam family "Bacterial small subunit ribosomal RNA", at positions 356 to 774 of the family's 1533-position model. The record is from RNAcentral.